RNAcentral lists this ribosomal RNA (253 nucleotides) under uncultured bacterium. RNAcentral's name for it is "partial 16S ribosomal RNA". It matches the Rfam family "Bacterial small subunit ribosomal RNA", at positions 524 to 776 of the family's 1533-position model. The record is from RNAcentral.
UACGUAGGGACCGAGCGUUGUCCGGAUUCAUUGGGCGUAAAGGGCGCGUAGGCGGCGGUUCAAGUCGGGGGUGAAAGCCUGUGGCUCAACCACAGAAUGGCCUUCGAUACUGGACGGCUCGAGACCGGAAGAGGUCAGUGGAACUGCGAGUGUAGAGGUGAAAUUCGUAGAUAUUCGCAAGAACACCAGUGGCGAAGGCGGCUGACUGGUCCGGUUCUGACGCUGAGGCGCGAAAGCGUGGGGAGCAAACAGG